AGUCGAACGCAGUAGCAAUACUGAGUGGCAGACGGGUGAGUAACAUGUGGGAAUCUGCCUUGUGGUUCAGGACAACAUUGGGAAACCGAUGCUAAUACUGGAUAAGCCCUUACGGGGAAAGUUUUAAUGCCAUAAGAUGAGCCCGCAUUUGAUUAGUUAGUUGGUGAGGUAAUGGCUCACCAAGACAAUGAUCAAUAGCUGAUCUGAGAGGAUGAUCAGCCACACUGGGACUGAGACACGGCCCAGACUCCUACGGGAGGCAGCAGUGGGGAAUCUUGCACAAUGGAGGAAACUCUGAUGCAGCGAUGCCGCGUGAGUGAAGAAGGCCUUUGGGUUGUAAAGCUCUUUUGUAGGGGAAGAUAAUGACUGUACCCUAAGAAUAAGGUCCGGCUAACUUCGUGCCAGCAGCCGCGGUAAUACGAAGGGACCUAGCGUAGUUCGGAAUUACUGGGCGUAAAGCGCGCGUAGGCCGUUGAGUUAGUUAAUUGUGAAAUCCCAAAGCUUAACUUUGGAACUGCAAUUAAAACUGCUUGACUAGAGUUUGAUAGAGGAAAGCGGAAUACAUAGUGUAGAGGUGAAAUUCGUAGAUAUUAUGUAGAACACCAGUUGCGAAGGCGGCUUUCUGGAUCAACACUGACGCUGAGGCGCGAAAGUAUGGGUAGCAAAGAGGAUUAGAUACCCUCGUAGUCCAUACCAUAAACGAUGAUUGCUAGAUGUUGGAAAUUUAUUUUCAGUAUCGCAGCUAACGCAUUAAGCAAUCCGCCUGGGGAGUACGACCGCAAGGUUAAAACUCAAAUGAAUUGACGGGGACCCGCACAAGCGGUGGAGCAUGUGGUUUAAUUC
Molecule: ribosomal RNA, 843 nt
Filed under: uncultured organism
Description: bacterial SSU rRNA
Rfam family: Bacterial small subunit ribosomal RNA
Source: RNAcentral